This is a non-coding RNA of Schistosoma curassoni, 45 nucleotides long. The record is from Rfam. NCBI's taxonomy places the organism in Eukaryota, Metazoa, Platyhelminthes, Trematoda, Strigeidida, Schistosomatidae.
AUCCAGCUGACGAGUCCGUAAUAGGACGAAACGCGCAUCCUGGAU